AAACAACAUACUUUUCAUAUAUUUAUACCAAAACAGUGGAUCAAUCAGAGGAAACAGAAUCAUAGCAUCGUACACAUUUCUUCAUUAACUUUCCACAGACAGAAUGAAAUAGAAUACCAGAGAGAAAUAGAACGAUGAAGAUUAUAAACCAAUCAAACGAACAAUGUUUUCGACUAUUAUUAUGAUUAGACAACUUCUGCAUACAAUAAGAAUUUUUUUAUCAGAAAAUAGAUAGCCACGUGAAUACCUCUGAGUACAAAAUGAACAUGAAGAAUAUGCAGAAAAGAUUAUCAUAAUCUGU
RNAcentral lists this long non-coding RNA (301 nucleotides) under Gossypium barbadense (sea-island cotton). Its description in RNAcentral is "long non-coding RNA (GBAR_LNC003089)". Lineage: Eukaryota; Viridiplantae; Streptophyta; Magnoliopsida; Malvales; Malvaceae. The record is from RNAcentral.